RNAcentral lists this long non-coding RNA (1483 nucleotides) under Brassica rapa (field mustard). Its description in RNAcentral is "long non-coding RNA (BRAP_LNC003010)". The record is from RNAcentral. Lineage: Eukaryota; Viridiplantae; Streptophyta; Magnoliopsida; Brassicales; Brassicaceae.
UGGGUUAUGACUUAUGAGACGGGUGCACUGUUUUCCCUCCCCUAUUAAGCCGGCCUGCACUUGUUUGAAGCAUUGUAUAGAAUUAACAGCAGUUUGGAGGAAUUUGCAUUCCCCAACUAAUCAACCUAUCUUGCUAGAAAUGAUAACCGAGCAUAUGAUAGAAUGAUUUGGACCUCUUCACGUGAACCAAUGAUUAACUGGUCUUGCAAAGUAUCGUUUGCCCAUUGUGUAUGUUAAAAAGUAGAAUAUAUGGACCUAAUCAAGAACUCUCAUGUGUGCCAAUACAACGUGUAUGGUCACCAUGGUACUAGCUCGGCGAGCAGGCCAGCUUACUAGGGGAGAUGGACAGAUGGGCUAUAGUCCAACCUUAUUCUGAGAAUGCCACUUUAUAACACUUUAAACACUGAAGUUUUUUUACCAACACUUUAAACUUUCAAAGUGACAUUUUUAUCAUAACAAACCUCAAACAACCUUUUUUUAUUCAUAGACAACCGGUACUAUUUAUUUUACAUGUUAAAAUAACGAGGUGUCUGUUUCUUUUAAAAAAUAAUAAUAAAAAAUACAUAAAAUUCGAAUAAAAUUAGAGAAAAUUGUAAAAAAGUUGUAAAAAAUUAAAACAAAAUUCAAAAAUCUAAAUUUCAAAAUAUAAAAAUUAAAAUUUCAAACUUAAAAAUAAAAUAAAAUAUUAAAAAUUAUAAAAAUUGAAAAUAAUAACCAAAACUAAAAUGUCAAAUUUAAAAACUAAAAUAAAAUUAUAAAAAUUGAAAAAUAAAAUCUAAAAUUAAAAUGUCAGAUUUAAAAACUAAAAAAAAUUUUUUAAAAAAUUGAAAAAUAAGAUCUAAAAUUAAAAAUUCAAACUUAAAAAAAUUUGUAAAUAUUUAAACAAAAAAUUCAAACUUGCUACCAUCAAAAACCUUUUUUAUAUAACUCGGAUAUCCGAACACCUUAUGUAGUCCGACUAGCACAUAAGUACACCUCCGCAGAGAGCAUUCUGGGGGGCCACAGAUUUCACCCCAUGUUAAUUGAUGGUGGCCACACGCGGGGCUAAUAAUUCUCUCAAUUAGAUUAUUUUGAGUGUUUGUCCCAAAAAAAAUUCUAAGAAGGAAAAUGACCAAAAUAUUUCAUUAAAAAUACAAAAGACUCUUAUAUCCUAGAUAUAUAAAUACAAAUAAAUAAAUAAUAAAAAUAUUUUUUAAUACUUUUUAACUUAUUUUUGAUUUUUUAGAAUUUUUAAAUUUAAUUUUCGUUUUUUAAGUUUUACAUUUUAAUUUGAGAUCUCUUUUUAGAUUUUUUAAUAUUUUAUUAUUUUUAAGUUUGAAAUUUUAUUUUUUAUAUUUUUAUAUUUUUGAAUUUUAUAUUUUUGGAUUUUUUUAAAAAAUUUUGUUUACAAUUUUCAAAAAAAAUUAAUUUUAUUCGAAUUUUUAUGUAUUUUUAUUAUUUUUUAUUAAUUAUUUAAAAAAAACUGACUCCUCAUCAUUUUAAC